RNAcentral lists this ribosomal RNA (385 nucleotides) under uncultured bacterium. RNAcentral's name for it is "bacterial SSU rRNA". It matches the Rfam family "Bacterial small subunit ribosomal RNA", at positions 102 to 520 of the family's 1533-position model. The record is from RNAcentral.
ACGGGUGAGUAACGCGUAGGUAUCUAUCCUCGGGUGGGGGACAACCACGGGAAACUGUGGCUAAUACCGCAUGAUGACUGAGGUCCAAAGGCGCAAGUCGCCUGGGGAGGAGCCUGCGUCCGAUUAGCUUGUUGGUGGGGUAAUGGCCUACCAAGGCUCCGAUCGGUAGCUGGUCUGAGAGGAUGAUCAGCCACACUGGGACUGAGACACGGCCCAGACUCCUACGGGAGGCAGCAGUGGGGAAUAUUGGACAAUGGGCGAAAGCCUGAUCCAGCAAUGCCGCGUGGGUGAAGAAGGUCUUCGGAUUGUAAAGCCCUUUCGGCGGGGACGAUGAUGACGGUACCCGCAGAAGAAGCCCCGGCUAACUUCGUGCCAGCAGCCGCGG